CAGUCGCCGCGGUAAUACGUAGGUGGCAAGCGUUAUCCGGAAUUAUUGGGCGUAAAGCGCGCGUAGGCGGUUUCUUAAGUCUGAUGUGAAAGCCCACGGCUCAACCGUGGAGGGUCAUUGGAAACUGGGAAACUUGAGUGCAGAAGAGGAAAGUGGAAUUCCAUGUGUAGCGGUGAAAUGCGCAGAGAUAUGGAGGAACACCAGUGGCGAAGGCGACUUUCUGGUCUGUAACUGACGCUGAUGUGCGAAAGCGUGGGGAUCAAACAGGAUUAGAUACCCCCGUAGUCCCUGUCUCUUAUAC
Molecule: ribosomal RNA, 301 nt
Filed under: uncultured bacterium
Lineage: Bacteria
Description: partial 16S ribosomal RNA
Rfam family: Bacterial small subunit ribosomal RNA
Source: RNAcentral